Molecule: ribosomal RNA, 468 nt
Filed under: uncultured bacterium
Lineage: Bacteria
Description: partial 16S ribosomal RNA
Rfam family: Bacterial small subunit ribosomal RNA
Source: RNAcentral
GACGAGCGCUGGCGGCGUGCUUAACACAUGCAAGUCGAACGGAAAGGCCCUGCUUUUGUGGGGUGCUCGAGUGGCGAACGGGUGAGUAACACGUGAGUAACCUGCCCUUGACUUUGGGAUAACUUCAGGAAACUGGGGCUAAUACCGGAUAGGAGCUCCUGCUGCAUGGUGGGGGUUGGAAAGUUUCGGCGGUUGGGGAUGGACUCGCGGCUUAUCAGCUUGUUGGUGGGGUAGUGGCUUACCAAGGCUUUGACGGGUAGCCGGCCUGAGAGGGUGACCGGCCACAUUGGGAGUGAGAUACGGCCCAGACUCCUACGGGAGGGAGCAGUGGGGAAUAUUGCACAAUGGGCGGAAGCCUGAUGCAGCAACGCCGCGUGCGGGAUGACGGCCUUCGGGUUGUAAAGCGCUUUCGCCUGUGACGAGGCGUGAGUGACGGUAAUGAGUAAAGAAGCACCGGCUAACUACGUG